CUGGGCUCGAGCGAUCCUCUCACCUCAGCCUCCUGAGUAGCUGGGACUACAGCUGUGCCUUAACUUCCUCGAAAGACAACAUCAGUGCUGGCGGGCCUCAAGAAGAGCCAUCCCAAGGUAUUGACUAGGCAUCAGCGUCUUCACCAGGGCAACACAGAACAUCCCUGCAGAGUUCCUGGUGGCUGCAGUGGCUGGUAGGGGAUGUAUGCCUGCUUUCCAUCAGAUUCCCAAAGCGGAGCCCCUGGAGGCUUUGGCCCAUGGCCCUGAAGCUCCCUUUCACAAGGAAGAAAGACUUUGCAAAGCCAACACCACUAUUGGAGAGAAAGUGGAGAAUGUGUAUUAGAAGUACUAGUCUUUGAAGGCAAAACAGCUGUAUAGAGUGAGCUUAAGUGCUGGAUCCCUGUGGUUAGGAAGGGACACUAAGCCUCCGGGAUGUGAGAGUCCCAUGGAAGGCAGUAGGCCCAGGAUAAAGCAGGUGUCAGCUCAGAAAGCCCACCAUCACCCAGAAAAGGGAAGAAAUACGCUACCACCAUCACUCUUUCUGCCAAUGACUUCUUUGCACACCUCCACCCUAUCUCCUGGCUCAGUCUCCCAUGUUCUCAUAGCUAGGGAGGUCUCCAUUGUAAUUUGUAUGGGGAGGUUAACCUAUAGGCCAUUCUGAUGAUCCCAGCUCCCUUUCACUACAACCCCCGUCUGCAUCCUUUGCUUUGCAGUAGGAUUUGAGAGAGGAAGGAUGAAGAUGUAGCCACAGGAUACAUUUAAACAGGCACAGAGUUUGAGGGGUGGGGGGGAACAAAAGCAAA
RNAcentral lists this long non-coding RNA (803 nucleotides) under Homo sapiens (human). RNAcentral's name for it is "HSALNT0331661". Lineage: Eukaryota; Metazoa; Chordata; Mammalia; Primates; Hominidae. The record is from RNAcentral.